RNAcentral lists this ribosomal RNA (404 nucleotides) under uncultured bacterium. RNAcentral's name for it is "bacterial SSU rRNA". It matches the Rfam family "Bacterial small subunit ribosomal RNA", at positions 355 to 775 of the family's 1533-position model. The record is from RNAcentral.
UAGGGAAUAUUGCUUAAUGGGCGAAAGCCUGAAGCAGCAACGCCGCGUGAACGAAGAAGGCAUUCGGGUCGUAAAGUUCUUUUACGUGGGAUGAGGAAGGACAGUACCACGAGAAUAAGUCUCGGCUAACUACGUGCCAGCAGCCGCGGUAAAACGUAGGAGACGAGCGUUAUCCGGAUUUACUGGGCGUAAAGCGCGUGUAGGAGGCGCUACAAGUUGGAUGUGAAAGCUCCCGGCUUAACUGGGAGAGGUCGUUCAAGACUGUAGAGCUAGAGUGAGGUAGAGGUAGAUGGAACUCCGGGAGUAGUGGUGAAAUGCGUAGAUAUCCGGAAGAACACCAGAGGCGAAAGCGAUCUACUGGACCUAAACUGACACUGAGACGCGAAAGCCAGGGUAGCAAACGG